This 612-nucleotide ribosomal RNA is filed under the name uncultured bacterium. RNAcentral's name for it is "bacterial SSU rRNA". The stretch from base 1 to 520 matches the Rfam family "Bacterial small subunit ribosomal RNA", at positions 338 to 873 of the family's 1533-position model. The record is from RNAcentral.
CCUACGGGAGGCAGCAGUUAGGAAUAUUGGACAAUGGGGGCAACCCUGAUCCAGCCAUGCCGCGUGUGUGAAGAAGGCCUUAGGGUUGUAAAGCACUUUCAGCUGUGAAGAUAAUGACAGUAGCAGAAGAAGAAGCUCCGGCUAAAUUCGUGCCAGCAGCCGCGGUAAUACGAAUGGAGCGAGCGUUGUUCGGAAUCACUGGGCGUAAAGGGUGCGCAGGCGGUCAUGAAAGUUAGAAGUGAAAUCCCAGGGCUUAACCCUGGAAUGGCUUUUAAAACUCCAUGACUAGAGUACUGGAGAGGUUGGCGGAAUUCCGAGUGUAGAGGUGAAAUUCGCAGAUAUUCGGAGGAACACCAAUGGCGUAGGCAGCCAACUGGACAGUAACUGACGCUCAUGCACGAAAGCGUGGGGAUCAAACAGGAUUAGAUACCCUGGUAGUCCACGCCCUAAACGAUGUGUGCUAGUUGUCGGUUCGUUAGUACGUACGGUGCGCNGCUACGUACUUAACGUACACACCGCCGUCGGGAGGUACGGUCGCGAGAGUAAACGUAACUAAUAGUUAGUUAGUACGGCGUUGAGACGUUGCCGACGGACGACGACGAGGGGAGGAGG